GGCAGGUGAUGUCCUUUCUCACGAUGGUCUUCAGAGGCCGUGACCCAUGGGCUCACUGUUGAUUGUGCCUUAAGGCUCAGCUGAUGCCAGCCC
This 93-nucleotide small nucleolar RNA is filed under the name Notamacropus eugenii (tammar wallaby). Its description in RNAcentral is "Small nucleolar RNA SNORD35 (ENSMEUG00000017093.1)". It matches the Rfam family "Small nucleolar RNA SNORD35". Rfam says of the family: U35 is a C/D box snoRNA located in intron 6 of ribosomal protein L13A and intron 3 of ribosomal protein S11 in humans and at homologous positions in mouse and chicken ribosomal protein genes. U35 guides the methylation of 2'-O-ribose sites in 28S rRNA. The record is from RNAcentral. Lineage: Eukaryota; Metazoa; Chordata; Mammalia; Diprotodontia; Macropodidae.